GUCGAACGAUUAAAGCUCCCUUCGGGGAGUGCAUAGAGUGGCGCACGGGUGAGUAACACGUAAGUAAUCUACCUUCGAGUGGGGAAUAACAGUCGGAAACGACUGCUAAUACCGCAUAAUGCAGCGGCAUCGCAAGAUGACAGUUGUUAAAGAUUUAUCGCUUGAAGAGGAGCUUGCGGCAGAUUAGCUAGUUGGUAAGGUAACGGCUUACCAAGGCUACGAUCUGUAACCGGUCUAAGAGGACGGUCGGUCACACUGACACUGAAUAACGGGUCAGACUCCUACGGGAGGCAGCAGUCGGGAAUUUUGGGCAAUGGGGGAAACCCUGACCCAGCAACGCCGCGUGAAGGAUGAAGUAUUUCGGUAUGUAAACUUCGAAAGAAUAGGAAGAAUAAAUGACGGUACUAUUUAUAAGGUCCGGCUAACUACGUGCCAGCAGCCGCGGUAAUACGUAGGGACCAAGCGUUGUUCGGAUUUACUGGGCGUAAAGGGCGCGUAGGCGGCAAUUCAAGUCAUCUGUGAAAUCUCCGGGCUUAACUCGGAACGGCCAGAUGAUACUGCUUUGCUAGAGUGCAGAAGGGGCAAUCGGAAUUCUUGGUGUAGCGGUGAAAUGCGUAGAUAUCAAGAGGAACACCUGAGGUGAAGACGGGUUGCUGGGCUGACACUGACGCUGAGGCGCGAAAGCCAGGGGAGCAAACGGGAUUAGAUACCCCGGUAGUCCUGGCCCUAAACGAUGAAUACUUGGUGUCUGGAGUCUUUAAUGCUCCGGGUGCCGUCGCUAACGUUUUUAGUAUUCCGCCUGGGGGAGUACGCUCGCAAGAGUGAAACUCAAAGGAAUUGACGGGGA
Molecule: ribosomal RNA, 847 nt
Filed under: uncultured bacterium
Lineage: Bacteria
Description: bacterial SSU rRNA
Rfam family: Bacterial small subunit ribosomal RNA
Source: RNAcentral